Molecule: ribosomal RNA, 444 nt
Filed under: uncultured bacterium
Lineage: Bacteria
Description: bacterial SSU rRNA
Rfam family: Bacterial small subunit ribosomal RNA
Source: RNAcentral
GAUGAACGCUAGCGGCGUGCUUAACACAUGCAAGUCGAGCGAAGCACUUUACUUAGAUUCCUUCGGGAUGAAGAGUGAUUUGACUGAGCGGCGGACGGGUGAGCAACGCGUGGGCAAUCUGCCUCAUACAGGGGGAUAACAGUUAGAAAUGACUGCUAAUACCGCAUAAGACCACAGUGCCGCAUGGCACAGGGGUAAAAACUCCGGUGGUAUGAGAUGAGCCCCGCGUCUGAUUAGGUAGUUGGUGGGGGUAACGGCCUACCAAGCCGACGAUCAGUAGCCGACCUGAGAGGGCGACCGGGCCACAUUGGGACUGAGACACGGGCCCAAACUCCUACGGGAGGCAGCAGUGGGGAAUAUUGCACGAUGGGGGAAACCCUGAUGCAGCGACGCCGCGUGAAGGAUGAAGUAUUUCGGGUAUGUAAACUUCUAUCAGCAGGGAAG